AUGGAGGACGUGCCGUCCGACCCGCCGGACGAGGAGUUUCCCGGCCCGUCGGAGCGGUCUCCAAGGAGGAAGCGACGUUCGCGCCGCCGGCGCGGCACUCCACAGCCGGAUGUCGGGACAUGUAAGCAGCCGGCUGUGGUGAGUAAAAGGGACACUUUUUCUGCUGCGUCACACUCUGUGACUGUUGUUUCUGGGGCAAUUUUUUGUGUUUCGACUGAGGAUAACAAUGAUUCCUCAAUCUCACCUAUGGCCGCAGUUUCUAAGACUGCCUGUUCUGAACCUUCGUUCCGAGUUUAUGACCGUGUCCGCUCUGUUGUCCCAUCCUCACUUCCAUCCCAGUUAAAUGCCCGGCCCGUAACACUGCCCGCAGUUCAGUCAGCAGCCCAGCUGCCCGCAGUUCAGUCAGCAGCCCAGCUGCCCGCAGUUCAGUCAGCAGCCCAGCUGCCCGCAGUUCAGUCAGCAGCCCAGCUGCCCGCAGUUCAGUCAGCAGCCCAGCUGCCCGCAGUUCAGUCAGCAGCCCAGCUGCCCGCAGUUCAGUCAGCAGCCCAGCUGCCCGCAGUUCAGUCAGCCAUUCCAUCACCUGUUACGCCUCCACUCCGAUCAUCUCCGUCCCCUGUAGGUCAAUCCUUGGCCUCGCUACCUGCUGUCCAGUGGCCGCUAGCUCAGCUGUCUGCCCACUCAUUCAUUCAGCCGCCAUCCUCACUGUUUCAUUCCGAGCAGGGAACACACUUCACCACGACAUCUGCUGGUUCUCUUAAGCUGGUCACCUCAGAGACAGUUGCUCCCUCUAGGGCCUCCCCAGAGGCUGGGUGUCGCUCACCAGCUGACUCUGAACCCCUAGAGGUCAAGACGCCAGCGCCAGCAGUUUCACCAGGGAACUCACCAGAGCAGUCUCGGCUCUCAGCACCCCCUGAGAGCUCAAGUGAGUUCACCCGUCCGCCUCAGUCCUCUGCUGAGUGUAUUGGGGAACACUUUCAGCCCUCUGAGGACUGCAUCCCACUGUUGCUGCCUGAGUCUAGCCACUGUGCUGCUCAGUUCCAGCCAGUGUCCACACCAGCAGAGGUCUGCGUACCUGCUGCCUCAGUGUCUGUUUCCGCUGGAGGGCCCGAGUCGCUCGUCCAGCCUCAAGUUUCGUUAGCUGGGGGUUUGGGAGAACCCAGCCAGCAUCCUGCCUCGUCGGCUGGAGGGCCUGAGGAGCCCGUCCAGCCUCAAGUUUCGUCUGCUGGGGGUUCGGGAGAGCCCAGCCAGCUUCAAGUUUCGUCCGCUGGGGGUUCGGGAGAGCCCAGCCAGCUUCAAGUUUCGUCUGCUGGGGGUUCGGGAGAGCCCAGCCAGCUUCAAGUUCCGUCUGCUGGGGGUUCAGGUGAACCCAGACAGCAUCCUGCCUCGUCAGCUGGGGGUUCGGAGGAGCCCAGCCAGCUUCAAGUGUCGUCAGCUGGGGGUUCGGGAGAGCCCAGCCAGCUUCAAGUUCCGUCUGCUGGGGGUUCAGGUGAACCCAGACAGCAUCCUGCCUCGUCGGCUGGGGGUUCGGGAGAACCCAGCCAGCCUCAAGUGUCGUCUGCUGGGGGUUCGGAGGAACCCAGCCAGCCUCAAGUGUCGUCAGCUGGAGGGCCCGAGGAGCCCGUCCAGCCUUAUGCCACGUCUGCUGGAGGGUCCGAGGGGCCCGUUCAGCCUCCUGUCUCCGCUGGAGGGUCCGAGGGGCCCGUUCAGCCUCCUGUGUCGUCUGCUGGAGGGUCCGAGGGGCCCGUUCAGCCUCCUGUGUCGUCUGCUGGAGGGCCCGAGUCGCCUGUCCAGCCUCCUGUGUCGUCAGCUGGUGGGCCGGAGUCGCCCGUCCAGGCUCCUGUGUCGUCUGCUGAAGGGCCCGAGUCGCCCGUCCAGCCUCCUGUGUCGUCAGCUGGUGGGUCCGAGGAGCCCGUCCAGCACCACACCUCGUUAGCUGAGGGUCCUGGAGGACCCAGACAGCACAUCCUCUCGUCUGCUGGCGGUCCGGGGAGGGCUGUUCAGCCAUCACCGGCUAAAUCAUCCCCCGCGACAUCUACAUCUCCGCCUGCAGCAUCAUCAUCUCCGCCUGCAGCCGCAGCAUUAUCAUCUCCGCCUGCAGCCGCAGCUUCAUCAUCUCCGCCUGCAGCCGCAGCUUCAUCAUCUCCGCCUGCAGCCGCAGCUUCAUCAUCUCCGCCUGCAGCCGCAGCUUCAUCCGCAGCCGCAGCUUCAUCCGCAGCCGCAGCUUCAUCCACGCCUGCAGCCGUCCCGCUGCCGUCAGGUUCCGCAGCCAUCCCGCUGCCGUCAGGUUCCGCAGCCGUCCCGCUGCCGUCAGGUUCCGCAGCCGUCCCGCUGCCGUCAGGUUCCGCAGCCGUCCCGCUGCCGUCAGGUCCGGCCCCGUGUCUUCAUCCACGCCUGCAGCAUCAUCGCCUGCAGCCGUCUCGCUGCCGUCAGGUUCCGCAGCCGUCUCGCUGCCGUCAGGUUCCGCAGCCGUCUCGCUGCCGUCAGGUUCCGCAGCCGUCUCGCUGCCGUCAGGUUCCGCAGCCGUCUCGCUGCCGUCAGGUUCCGCAGCCGCUCCGCCGUCGCCUGGUCCUGCCUCGUCGGCUUCGUCCACGCCUUCGUCCUCGCCAGGUCCGGCUUCGUCCACGCCUUCGUCCACGCCAGGUCCGGCUUCGUCCACGCCUUCGUCCACGCCUGGCCCGGCUUCGUCCACGCCUUCGUCCACGCCUGGCCCGGCUUCAUCUGGUCCUGACUUGUCCACGUCUGGCCCUGCCUCGUCUGGUCCUGCGGUUGCUACACCGUCAUGGGACCCAGCUCGUCCUGUUCCGCCUCCCCUCUGCCGGCCGUUUUCCAGGCCUCUAA
Long non-coding RNA from Oreochromis niloticus (Nile tilapia), 2838 nucleotides. Lineage: Eukaryota; Metazoa; Chordata; Actinopteri; Cichliformes; Cichlidae. The record is from Ensembl.